This is a ribosomal RNA of Rhineura floridana, 119 nucleotides long. The record is from RefSeq and is a predicted model, not a curated record. NCBI's taxonomy places the organism in Eukaryota, Metazoa, Chordata, Lepidosauria, Squamata, Rhineuridae.
GUCUACGGCCAUUCUACCUUGAACAUGGCCAAUCUCCUCUGAUCUUGGCAGCUAAGCAGGGUCAGGCCUGGUUAGUACUUGGAUGGGAGACCACCUGGGAAAACCAGGUGCCGUAGGCU